Molecule: long non-coding RNA, 1727 nt
Filed under: Homo sapiens (human)
Lineage: Eukaryota; Metazoa; Chordata; Mammalia; Primates; Hominidae
Description: non-protein coding lnc-EXOC2-2:1
Source: RNAcentral
AAACUUCAUAUGUGUGGAAUGACACAUGUGGCCUCUGCAUCUGGCUUCUUUCACAUAGCCUAAUGUUUUCAAGGCUGGCGCAUGUUGUAGCAUCUAUCAGAACUUCAUUCCUCCUUACAGCUGAUAACACUCCAUUAUGUGGAUAUGGAUAUGCCACACUUUAUCUUUUCAUCAGUUCGUGGACAUCUGGAUUGUCUCCACUUUUUGACUACUACACGUUCUGAAUUACCAGCGAUUUCACUCACUCAGAAUACAUAGAGACGAGGCUCCUCAUUCAGAAUCUCCCUGCACCUCAUGAUGGACUUGGCUGCACAUGGGACAACUCAGUCAUUUCCUGGAACUUGCAUUUCACUGGGAGAGGCCUGCUCUCAGGGAGGGUGCUUUUUGUGGUCUUCCAUGUACAGCUAAUUAAGAUUCUGACUGGGUUUAGGAUCAAAGAAAGCUGUCCCAUUGCAUUCCCACAUUCUUCCUUCUUCUUUCAAUGUCUUCCAAGAUCUAUUUUAAACGGGAAGUGUUGUGUACUUUUCAGGGGCCCUUUGACCUGUUCCCAGUAAAUCAAAACAGGAAGGUAGGUCUCAGCCCUUCGCCUAACAGCCAAUCAGUGUGAGACCAAGGUCUGCACAGCUGUGUCUAUGUCCAGUGCCCAACCAGGGAAGUGGUAUUUCCAAAGGCUUCCCUGAGGUCGGUCUAUGGUAGCUGUUUGCUAAUCUGAAUCCAUGUUGGUGAUUAAUUUUGGAAUUCGACUCUUUGAGUGUAUAAGGGACAGGGUGCAAAGGGAAAACAUCUCAGAGAACUUCUACAAAUAUUAGGAGUUGGUGCAAGAAGUUCACAGUGAGCUGGGAAGGAGUGGGAAGAAAUAACAGGGCCUUGGAUCCUUUCCAAUUCCCACCCCGGUGCGCUUGGCAGCUCACAUGAUACCUCGACUUUUCCAAAUAUUGGGGAGAAAAAGCAGCCAAGGUUUUAUGUAAGAAUGAAAAGGGCCUGAAGCAUUUCAAUUUCCGGGUGGCUAAACAAAAGAGGACACACACCAGGGAAAGCCCCUUAAAGUGUGUGCAGAAGAGUUGGACAAAAGAGAAGAGGCAUUUAAUCAGACAGAGAAAAAAAUAGAAAUGAUGUCAUUAUUUGGGUAUAGUGAGGUUGCCAUGUAGGUGUGUUUGUAUAAAUUCCUUGGGCUUUUCCUAGUAAUGAGAUAAUGCUGUAAGGUCCCCAGUUCCUCAAAAAUUUAGCUAAAACUUGGAGCGAUACUAAUUACAAAACACAAUCGCCACGCAGGUAAAGCUAUACAUAUCAUAAAUAUAGUCUACUGCUUACAGGAUGAGACCCUUGUUAGCAUGGGAGGGGCCCGAUUUCAUAAUUUGUACACCUGCAAUGCAGGGACUGAUCUCUCUGUAGGUGCACAUUUGCCUCAGGGUACACUGGCCUAGUGCGGCACUGCCCUACAAAGGCAAAUCCUCCAUCAAUACAUAAUGAAAAACGACCCAUCAAAAAAAUAAGUCAGAGUUGGGGAGGCACAGAAAAAGUGACAAAUUGAUUCCAGACUCUUCUUUUUUAGGCCAUCAUGGAAACAGUUACUGGAUUUAUAUUGGAAAAUUCCUACCAGGGUGUGACGCCUUCAAUCGCCCUUCGUUUCCCGUGAUCUCCCCAGGAGCAGGCAGAGGGGCAUCCUGGGAACCGACCGCGAGGUGGCCUGGAUCUUACUGCUGCCACUGAGUGCCGCUCCCAGGAAU